CUGACAUGCGUGCGAGUCAACGGGUGAGUAAACCCGUAAGGCGCAAGGAAGCUGACUGGUGGGAUCCCCUUGUGGGUUGCACCGCCGACCGACCUAGAUCUUUUGAGAAGGGUUCAAGUGAGAGCAUGCCUGUCGG
This 136-nucleotide non-coding RNA is filed under the name Nelumbo nucifera (sacred lotus). Its description in RNAcentral is "Eukaryotic large subunit ribosomal RNA". It matches the Rfam family "Eukaryotic large subunit ribosomal RNA", at positions 675 to 812 of the family's 3401-position model. The record is from Rfam by way of RNAcentral. Lineage: Eukaryota; Viridiplantae; Streptophyta; Magnoliopsida; Proteales; Nelumbonaceae.